This 213-nucleotide ribosomal RNA is filed under the name Metazoa environmental sample. Its description in RNAcentral is "partial small subunit ribosomal RNA". It matches the Rfam family "Eukaryotic small subunit ribosomal RNA", at positions 1296 to 1461 of the family's 1831-position model. The record is from RNAcentral. Lineage: Eukaryota; Metazoa.
AGUUGGUGGAGCGAUUUGUCUGGUUAAUUCCGAUAACGAACGAGACUCUAGCCUAUUAAAUAGUUCGCGGUUCACGACGUAGCCCUCCCCGGCGUGCGUCCGGGCCGGCUUUCGGGUCGCGCUCGCGGCGUCGUCGGUGGUGGGCCCCAGACCGCGCUAACUUCUUAGAGGGACAAGUGGCGUUUAGCCACGCGAGAUUGAGCAAUAACAGGU